RNAcentral lists this ribosomal RNA (250 nucleotides) under uncultured prokaryote. RNAcentral's name for it is "partial 16S ribosomal RNA". It matches the Rfam family "Bacterial small subunit ribosomal RNA", at positions 524 to 774 of the family's 1533-position model. The record is from RNAcentral.
UACGGAAGAUGCGAGCGUUAUCCGGAUUUAUUGGGUCUAAAGGGAGCGUAGGCGGUCUUUUAAGUCAGCGGUUGAAUGUCAGUGCCCAACAUUGGCGUGCCGUUGAAACUGGAGGCCUUGAAUACACACAAGGAAGGCGGAAUUCGUCGUGUAGCGGUGAAAUGCUUAGAUAUGACGAAGAACUCCGAUUGCGAAGGCAGCCUUCUGGGGUGCGAUUGACGCUGAGGCUCGAAAGUGCGGGGACCAAACA